RNAcentral lists this small nuclear RNA (22 nucleotides) under Arabidopsis thaliana (thale cress). RNAcentral's name for it is "snRNA_16858". The record is from RNAcentral. Lineage: Eukaryota; Viridiplantae; Streptophyta; Magnoliopsida; Brassicales; Brassicaceae.
AAUCUCCAUUGAAAAUGUUAGA